This 1865-nucleotide unclassified non-coding RNA is filed under the name Hevea brasiliensis (rubber tree). Lineage: Eukaryota; Viridiplantae; Streptophyta; Magnoliopsida; Malpighiales; Euphorbiaceae. The record is from RNAcentral.
GUGGAACUUCAUUGAUCUAGCUAGGAUAUAAAAACAAAUGCAGAGAUACAUAAAUGGAAUUUGCAUUUUAACAAGCCUGGAAAUGAUGAAAAUAGCAGCAAAUCUAUACUGUAGGUGUCCUAAUUUCAUGGGAAGGAAGCUUAACAACAACGAGAACAACGAUUACAAUAACCACAACAACAACAAAAACAAGAAGAGCAACGACGAAAACAGGAAGAACAACUCCUCCUUGGAUGACAUGAAGGGCAGUUACGAGGGUCGCAUGAAGUACAACUGAAAGGAUGAAAAGAGCAAGAACUACACGGACAACACGAAGAACAAAGACAUGGGCAACAUGAAGUAGAAAAACUACAUGGGUUACAAGAACAACCGCACGGGUGACAGGAAGAACAACUACAAGGGUGACAGGAAGAACAACUACAUGUGUGACAGGAAGAACAACUACAUGAGUGACAAUUAGAACAACAUGAAGAGCAGCUACAAGAGUGAUAUGAAGAACAAUUACAAGAGUGACAUGAAGAACAACUCCAUGAACAACAUGAAAAGCAAUGAAAACAGCUACCAGAAGUUGAUUUCAUAAUUGCUUUGGAAGUUGGUGUUGAUUCAGGUAGAUGUGGUGGCUGCAGAGGCUGACUCUUAGCAAAUCCCUUUGGAUUAGUUUUUACCCCAGCUUCCAAAACUGGAAACGCCAAUGGGUGAUUGCUUUCUUCACUUUCAUCUGAUUUUUUGGAUUUCCAUUCAACAGUUAAAGUUUUUUUGUUUCUCUCGCUUGUAUCUUCAACACCAUCUGGCUUGGUUGCGUCCUUGGAGGUUGUCCCAUCUGCUACACAACUUUCACUCUUCUUUGUUUCAGUAGUUUCUUCUUUUGUUUCUUCCAUGGGGAUUGAAGGCCGAUUUGCCACUGAAAUCCUAUUUUCUGUAUCUGCCACUGGAACAGAAGGGGAUGGGCUAAAUUGGAAUUCUACUUCUCCAGGCUUGCUAAACUCCAUCGAUAAAAGACGAUCUCUGGAGAAACUAGUUCCUAAUUGAAGGCUAAACAAAGACUCAUUAGAAGCAUUGCUCCAUUCAACUGGUUUUGUCUUGUUUGUUUCAAAUAUAGCGGAUGGAAUCCUGCAAGGAUCAUAUCCUUCUCCUCUUGAUCGUUCCAUCACUUGCAUUGGAGGAGAUUGCAUCAUCGAAGCUACGUGCAAAUGAUAGGAUUCAGGGAUGAAAUCAGGAACAGGAAAUGUUAUUGAUUGACCAACAGAGCUAUCUUCAGACCCUCUUGAUUUGGAAGACUCGUGAUGCUGCGAAUUCCCCUUUUUUUCAUCUUUUAAUGCUGGUAAAGAACUACUGGUCCUUCUGGGUUCCUUACAAUUUUUCCCAGCUAAAGGCAAGACAUCAUCUGGCGGUGAAGUUGAUGAAGAAGAUUCAUUAACAGCAGCAGCAGCAGCAGGAGGAGGAGAAGCAUUUGAAUUCAACUCUGACUUCUUACUACUUUCUUUUGCAGGUGCUGUUUUCUCCAAAUAUUCAUUGCUUCCAAACAGAACACUACGUUUUGGAUUUUUCUCAACAACAUCUACAUUACUUGCUCCGUUCCCAUCAUUAACAUUGACAUUUGCAUUUGAUUUUGAUCGCUUACGGCUUCUGUUCCCACGUUCCAAGCCCAUUUAAGCUUUAUGCCGCCAGAUGAUCUUGAUCGGUGUGAAAUAUGAUCGCCGGAAUAGCACCGGCGAUCCACAACUCCUUUUCUCCUAUAGUAUUUGAAUUCUCAACCUCCCUCGAUCUAUCAUGCACUCGAACGAUACUUUAACCAAGUGAAACGAUCAAAAUUUAUUAAAUAAAAACUCAGUUCUCAACUGAAAAAUCCUGAAUUUCUGUUUUUU